AAGUCGUAACAAGGUUUCCGUAGGUGAACCUGCGGAAGGAUCAUCAAUAGUCUCAAAGUCUUGUCCAUGUGUGGUGCCACUAGGUGCCGCUCUGGCUUGACAAAUACCUUCUUGUGCACUGUUUGUUGGUUACUGACUGACUGGGGGAGUUGUUGGGAUGUGCUCUGCACAUCUUGCGCCCCCGGCCGGUCGUUUGUUUUACACAAACUCUGUUAAUAUUAAUGUCUUAAGAUCUAGUUGCAAAAAAUUUGUUAAAUAUACACACAACUUACAGCGAUGGAUCUCUAGGCUCUGGU
This 296-nucleotide unclassified non-coding RNA is filed under the name fungal sp. RNAcentral's name for it is "partial internal transcribed spacer region". The stretch from base 1 to 46 matches the Rfam family "Eukaryotic small subunit ribosomal RNA", at positions 1786 to 1831 of the family's 1831-position model. The record is from RNAcentral. Lineage: Eukaryota; Fungi.